Non-coding RNA from Schizosaccharomyces pombe (fission yeast), 1955 nucleotides. Lineage: Eukaryota; Fungi; Ascomycota; Schizosaccharomycetes; Schizosaccharomycetales; Schizosaccharomycetaceae. The record is from the annotation of a GenBank genome assembly.
CGACACAGAUGAGAUUUCAUUAAACAUUUGAGAACCUUCAGUUUGAUGGUUUGAUACAAUUGGAAUAGUGGAUGAAACUAUAGAAGUCAUAACGUCAACUCCAGCUUCUGAAACACCAUUUUCAGCCAAAAGCCCUUGCACAAUGUCCUUGUAACCAGUAGAAGAAUUUUGUCCUUCGUGGAAAGGAUUAUCGUUAUCAAUUAUAGAAAAACUUUCGACCGAAGGGCUUUUCUGGGGAAAUGAAUCACUUUCGCUACUUUUAAAGUCAAAUGAUUGUUGAUUUGAGUAGCUUCCCGUUCCAAUAUUAUCUUUUUCAAUUAAAAAUCCUUCACCGUUUGAAUCAAUCGCUUUGUUAUCUGAGCUUCCGAUAAUUUCUAAAUCUUCAUCUGCAUCAAUAUCUUUUGAUGACGAUAUCGCAAAUUCAUCAACAUCUAUUACAGGUUCAUGAAUAAAGUCUUCUUCUAAGUUUUGUUUAUGGCUGAACUUGAUACAAUUUCUCACAUGAGUAUCAAGCUUUGAGACCCAUUCAGAAACAGGAAACCGCUGAAUAGUAGAAAUAGCUCGAAGUUUGGUGCGCACAGACUUUGAAGAUGUUAAGGCUUGACGACAGGCUUCUUCAAACUGGCAGAGCAAAUGUGCAGUUGUGUUAGAUUCGAUGGUAUACCACCAUCCCGGCAUCUGUCCAAGGCCUCCAACUUUGGCACCAAUACCCAAUGUUCCUUUCCUACCAAAUUCAACAGCCACCAAACCAAAAGGUUCAUCUCUUGAGGGUAUCAAAGCAAAAUCUGCGCCACUGAAUAUGUAAGAAGGAAGUUGAGUAAAGAGAGGCCUAGAGUAUAUUCGACCAGGAUACUUCUUCAUUAAAGCCGUGAACUUUUCAGCAGCAAAUUUUCCAUAAAGAUCAAUGACAGGGCCAACCACAACAAUUUGGGAAUUGAAAUUUUCUAAUAGGGUAGGAGUGAUGUCUGCAAUUAAAUCAAUGCCCUUUUGCAACGUCCAUCGACCCACAAAUAUCAAAAGAUCUGCCUCAGGAUCAAUAUUGAGAUUUGCCCAUUCUUGAGCUGAACGCUUAUGUUUUGCUUUGAUGUUUUCAAACUCAUUCAUGGAAUUCGCGUCAAGGUCUUUAAAAUUGGUACCAUUAUCUGCUGGGUCGGGAUUUGGGAGUUUACCGAUUUUCCUCAAUCCCCAAAAUAUGGGAUAUCUAGCCCAAGAUCGUUUUCCGUAUUUACUGGAAACACCCACCACUCCGUAGCCUUUUUGAUGAAUUCGAAUAUAUGAGGCGCCAGCAUGCAACAGAUUAAAAACAUUACCAAAUUGAACAUAUUUAGAACAAACAGAUUUAGAUAUAUUGAAAACCGAACAAACCUCCUCUUUCUCAGAAGAGUUCCUAAGGGGCCAAAGUCCUUGGAAUUCAGCAUUGUGCAAAGACAGUGCCACUGGGAUUAUUUUUGGAAGCAAAUAUAGCGGAGCAAGAGAACCGUGAUAAUCAUUCAUGUGAUAUAAAUCGAUAUUGUUUCUUGAUAUUACACUAGCAAUGCAUUGAUUCCAAGCAGAAUAGAAAAUAGCCGAGCUUAGAUCGUCAGCACGAGAUGGAUACGGUUUUCCGCUUGUUUGUCUUCGGAAAAUUGGAGCGUCAAGGAGUAUGUAUAUUAUGUUUCCGAUCACAUAUUUAUAAACGUUAAUGAAAUACGUUUGGUCGAUGAUUACUACUUCGAUAGGAUCAUCUUCUUCAACGUUUGAGUAAGACACAUCCCCGACACAAGGUAUCACCCAAAUGAUGUCUUCAUGUUCUAAAUGUCGGGCCAUUAGUUGCGCCAUGACGCCCAAUCCGCCAAUUUUGAUGCAAAUAUUCAAAGAAGGGAUAUCGUAUUCAAGUGUUGCAAGAAGAACAGUCCUUCUUUUGCCUUUGUCGCCAUCGUUCAAAACUUCUUCUCCUUUGAUUUUGUUUGAGCAGG